GUUGGGAGUCUUCUAUAUCUAGUUGUCACUCGUCCGGAUAUCUCUUAUCUGGUUCAUAUUCUGAGUCAGUUUGUCUCUGCUCCAACUUUGCUUCACUAUAGUCACCUCCUUCGUGUUCUUCGAUAUCUUCGGGGCACGAUCUCUCAUCGUCUAUUCUUUCCUCGCUCUAGUUCUUUACAGCUUCCGGCCUAUCCGGAUGCUACAUGGGCUAGUGAUCCCUCUGAUCGCCGCUCACUUUCUACUUACUGUGUUUUUAUUGGUGGUUCUCUCAUUGCCUGGAAGACGAAGAAACAGACUGCAGUUUCCCGUUCGAGUGCAGAGGCUGAGUUACGAGCUAUGGCUCUUUUGACGAUAGAGGUGACUUGGUUACGAUGGUUACUUCAGGAUUUUGGUGUUUCUGUUACUACACCUACUCCGCUCUUGUCUGACAGUACAAGUGCUAUU
Molecule: ribosomal RNA, 444 nt
Filed under: Triticum aestivum (bread wheat)
Lineage: Eukaryota; Viridiplantae; Streptophyta; Magnoliopsida; Poales; Poaceae
Description: partial small subunit ribosomal RNA
Source: RNAcentral